RNAcentral lists this ribosomal RNA (439 nucleotides) under uncultured bacterium. RNAcentral describes it as "partial 16S ribosomal RNA". It matches the Rfam family "Bacterial small subunit ribosomal RNA", at positions 29 to 507 of the family's 1533-position model. The record is from RNAcentral.
AGCGAACGCUGGCGGCAGGCCUAACACAUGCAAGUCGAACGAACCUUUCGGGGUUAGUGGCGGACGGGUGAGUAACACGUGGGAACGUGCCUUUAGGUUCGGAAUAACUCAGGGAAACUUGUGCUAAUACCGAAUGUGCCCUUCGGGGGAAAGAUUUAUCGCCUUUAGAGCGGCCCGCGUCUGAUUAGCUAGUUGGUUGAGGUAAUGGCUCACCAAGGCGACGAUCAGUAGCUGGUCUGAGAGGAUGAUCAGCCACAUUGGGACUGAGACACGGCCCAAACUCCUACGGGAGGCAGCAGUGGGGAAUAUUGCACAAUGGGCGCAAGCCUGAUGCAGCGACGCCGCGUGAGGGAUGACGGCCUUCGGGUUGUAAACCUCUUUCAGUAGGGAAGAAGCGAAAGUGACGGUACCUGCAGAAGAAGCACCGGCUAACUACGUG